This 461-nucleotide ribosomal RNA is filed under the name uncultured bacterium. Its description in RNAcentral is "partial 16S ribosomal RNA". It matches the Rfam family "Bacterial small subunit ribosomal RNA", at positions 338 to 795 of the family's 1533-position model. The record is from RNAcentral.
CCUACGGGUGGCAGCAGUGAGGAAUAUUGGUCAAUGGGCUUACGCCUGAACCAGCCAAGUCGCGUGAGUGAAGACUGCCCUAUGGGUUGUAAACCUCUUUUGUCAGGGAGCAACGCCGUCUACGUGUAGCCGGACUGAUAGUACCUGAAGAAACAGCAUCCGCUAACUAAGUGCCAGCAGCCGCGGUAAUACGUAGGGGGCGAGCGUUAUCCGGAUUCACUGGGUGGAAAGGGAGCGUAGACGGCCAUGCAAGCCAGGGGUGAAAGCCCGCGGCCCAACCCCGGGACUGCCCUUGGAACUGCAUGGCUGGAGUGCGGGAGGGGCAGGCGGAACUCCUGGUGUAGCGGUGAAAUGCGUAGAUAUAAGGAGGAACACCGGCGGCGAAGGCGGCCUGCUGGACCGCGACUGACGUUGAGGUUCGAAAACGUGGGGAGCGAACAGGAUUAGAUACCCCAGUAGUC